Molecule: long non-coding RNA, 452 nt
Organism: Athalia rosae (coleseed sawfly)
Lineage: Eukaryota; Metazoa; Arthropoda; Insecta; Hymenoptera; Athaliidae
Exons: 3
Source: RefSeq, a predicted model, not a curated record
AUUCUUUAUUUGAUUUGAAUAUUUAUUUUUUUUCUCCUCUCCCGAUGAUGCGUAAAAUAAAACUGAUGGAGGAUCCGUUACGUUGAAUUGCACGCGAAUAGAUCAUCCUAUUAGAUAAGGCCUCGUACACGUAUACACCAGUGUAAACCCUAUGGUAAAAGAAUUACGCGAGAGAAGGAUGAUUUACACCAUUGCUGAUUCCCGCGCAUUCCCGUGCUUUUACUCGACGCGUCGGUCUGCAACCUGCGAAGUCUGGACCCGCGCAAGCCACACAACACUCCAGGUCACAACAACAACAACAACAACAACAACAACGGCAACACCAACAUCGGAAAGUUUAGUCGCUUCUCAACCCUACGCUACUACAAAGAAAAUUAUCAAACGUCGACGUUAAUAUUUGUAUAAUAAUAUUGUAAUAUUGAAAAAAUAUAUCCCUAAAUUUCGAAACAAAA